GAGAUAAUGGCUUAGCAGUUAAGAGCACUGACUGCUUCAGAGGUCCUGAGUUCAAUUCCCAGUAACCCCA
RNAcentral lists this transfer RNA (70 nucleotides) under Mus musculus (house mouse). It matches the Rfam family "tRNA". Rfam says of the family: Transfer RNA (tRNA) molecules are approximately 80 nucleotides in length. Lineage: Eukaryota; Metazoa; Chordata; Mammalia; Rodentia; Muridae. The record is from Rfam by way of RNAcentral.